Molecule: long non-coding RNA, 485 nt
Organism: Siniperca chuatsi (mandarin fish)
Lineage: Eukaryota; Metazoa; Chordata; Actinopteri; Centrarchiformes; Sinipercidae
Exons: 3
Source: RefSeq, a predicted model, not a curated record
GUACAUUUGAGUCAGCAGCAAAUAGAGUAUGUGCAUAAGCUUCAACCAGCAGAUGGCAGUGUUGUCACAAUUUGGUCCCGUACCAACUACAAGCAGACUACAUGUACCUUAACACAGGUAUGCCUGCCGAAUGUUGUACCUGGAAGUUGUUGUACUUGUAGACGGAGCCUCCGGUGUGCGAGGGCACAUCAGCCAUGGUUGCCAAGUCCACGUACUGGCUGGGGAAGAGGAAGAGAUCCACACAGCAGCCCUGUGCCACACAGUCCUUAGACAGCUGCUCAUACACUCCUUUCUGAGGCUGGAACAGGGUCUGAGGAAAAAACAGAAUUGAAUUAGGAUAGAUACAAUGCUGCUCCCUUCUGUUUGUUAAGGACGACCAUCCCACCUUUUUGUAUAAGAUGGAAUGGUGAGUGAGAAAUGACCUGCGAUGAAGUGCAGCGAACUGUUUAGACACACGGAGUCAAGAAGCUUUAGUCUACAUCCAA